GGGUUGUGAGGUUAAGCGACUAAGCGUACACGGUGGAUGCCCUGGCAGUCAGAGGCGAUGAAGGACGUGCUAAUCUGCGAUAAGCGUCGGUAAGGUGAUAUGAACCGUUAUAACCGGCGAUUUCCGAAUGGGGAAACCCAGUGUGAUUCGUCACACUAUCAUUAACUGAAUCCAUAGGUUAAUGAGGCGAACCGGGGGAACUGAAACAUCUAAGUACCCCGAGGAAAAGAAAUCAACCGAGAUUCCCCCAGUAGCGGCGAGCGAACGGGGAGCAGCCCAGAGCCUGAAUCAGUGUGUGUGUUAGUGGAAGCGUCUGGAAAGGCGCGCGAUACAGGGUGACAGCCCCGUACACAAAAAUGCACAUACUGUGAGCUCGAUGAGUAGGGCGGGACACGUGGUAUCCUGUCUGAAUAUGGGGGGACCAUCCUCCAAGGCUAAAUACUCCUGACUGACCGAUAGUGAACCAGUACCGUGAGGGAAAGGCGAAAAGAACCCCGGCGAGGGGAGUGAAAAAGAACCUGAAACCGUGUACGUACAAGCAGUGGGAGCACGCUUAGGCGUGUGACUGCGUACCUUUUGUAUAAUGGGUCAGCGACUUAUAUUCUGUAGCAAGGUUAACCGAAUAGGGGAGCCGAAGGGAAACCGAGUCUUAACUGGGCGUUAAGUUGCAGGGUAUAGACCCGAAACCCGGUGAUCUAGCCAUGGGCAGGUUGAAGGUUGGGUAACACUAACUGGAGGACCGAACCGACUAAUGUUGAAAAAUUAGCGGAUGACUUGUGGCUGGGGGUGAAAGGCCAAUCAAACCGGGAGAUAGCUGGUUCUCCCCGAAAGCUAUUUAGGUAGCGCCUCGUGAAUUCAUCUCCGGGGGUAGAGCACUGUUUCGGCAAGGGGGUCAUCCCGACUUACCAACCCGAUGCAAACUGCGAAUACCGGAGAAUGUUAUCACGGGAGACACACGGCGGGUGCUAACGUCCGUCGUGAAGAGGGAAACAACCCAGACCGCCAGCUAAGGUCCCAAAGUCAUGGUUAAGUGGGAAACGAUGUGGGAAGGCCCAGACAGCCAGGAUGUUGGCUUAGAAGCAGCCAUCAUUUAAAGAAAGCGUAAUAGCUCACUGGUCGAGUCGGCCUGCGCGGAAGAUGUAACGGGGCUAAACCAUGCACCGAAGCUGCGGCAGCGACACUGUGUGUUGUUGGGUAGGGGAGCGUUCUGUAAGCCUGCGAAGGUGUGCUGUGAGGCAUGCUGGAGGUAUCAGAAGUGCGAAUGCUGACAUAAGUAACGAUAAAGCGGGUGAAAAGCCCGCUCGCCGGAAGACCAAGGGUUCCUGUCCAACGUUAAUCGGGGCAGGGUGAGUCGACCCCUAAGGCGAGGCCGAAAGGCGUAGUCGAUGGGAAACAGGUUAAUAUUCCUGUACUUGGUGUUACUGCGAAGGGGGGACGGAGAAGGCUAUGUUGGCCGGGCGACGGUUGUCCCGGUUUAAGCGUGUAGGCUGGUUUUCCAGGCAAAUCCGGAAAAUCAAGGCUGAGGCGUGAUGACGAGGCACUACGGUGCUGAAGCAACAAAUGCCCUGCUUCCAGGAAAAGCCUCUAAGCAUCAGGUAACAUCAAAUCGUACCCCAAACCGACACAGGUGGUCAGGUAGAGAAUACCAAGGCGCUUGAGAGAACUCGGGUGAAGGAACUAGGCAAAAUGGUGCCGUAACUUCGGGAGAAGGCACGCUGAUAUGUAGGUGAAGUCCCUCGCGGAUGGAGCUGAAAUCAGUCGAAGAUACCAGCUGGCUGCAACUGUUUAUUAAAAACACAGCACUGUGCAAACACGAAAGUGGACGUAUACGGUGUGACGCCUGCCCGGUGCCGGAAGGUUAAUUGAUGGGGUCAGCGCAAGCGAAGCUCUUGAUCGAAGCCCCGGUAAACGGCGGCCGUAACUAUAACGGUCCUAAGGUAGCGAAAUUCCUUGUCGGGUAAGUUCCGACCUGCACGAAUGGCGUAAUGAUGGCCAGGCUGUCUCCACCCGAGACUCAGUGAAAUUGAACUCGCUGUGAAGAUGCAGUGUACCCGCGGCAAGACGGAAAGACCCCGUGAACCUUUACUAUAGCUUGACACUGAACAUUGAGCCUUGAUGUGUAGGAUAGGUGGGAGGCUUUGAAGUGUGGACGCCAGUCUGCAUGGAGCCGACCUUGAAAUACCACCCUUUAAUGUUUGAUGUUCUAACGUUGACCCGUAAUCCGGGUUGCGGACAGUGUCUGGUGGGUAGUUUGACUGGGGCGGUCUCCUCCUAAAGAGUAACGGAGGAGCACGAAGGUUGGCUAAUCCUGGUCGGACAUCAGGAGGUUAGUGCAAUGGCAUAAGCCAGCUUGACUGCGAGCGUGACGGCGCGAGCAGGUGCGAAAGCAGGUCAUAGUGAUCCGGUGGUUCUGAAUGGAAGGGCCAUCGCUCAACGGAUAAAAGGUACUCCGGGGAUAACAGGCUGAUACCGCCCAAGAGUUCAUAUCGACGGCGGUGUUUGGCACCUCGAUGUCGGCUCAUCACAUCCUGGGGCUGAAGUAGGUCCCAAGGGUAUGGCUGUUCGCCAUUUAAAGUGGUACGCGAGCUGGGUUUAGAACGUCGUGAGACAGUUCGGUCCCUAUCUGCCGUGGGCGCUGGAGAACUGAGGGGGGCUGCUCCUAGUACGAGAGGACCGGAGUGGACGCAUCACUGGUGUUCGGGUUGUCAUGCCAAUGGCACUGCCCGGUAGCUAAAUGCGGAAGAGAUAAGUGCUGAAAGCAUCUAAGCACGAAACUUGCCCCGAGAUGAGUUCUCCCUGACUCCUUGAGAGUCCUGAAGGAACGUUGAAGACGACGACGUUGAUAGGCCGGGUGUGUAAGCGCAGCGAUGCGUUGAGCUAACCGGUACUAAUGAACCGUGAGGCUUAACCUUACAACGCCGAAGCUGUU
RNAcentral lists this ribosomal RNA (2929 nucleotides) under Escherichia coli. Its description in RNAcentral is "23S ribosomal RNA". It matches the Rfam family "Bacterial large subunit ribosomal RNA". Lineage: Bacteria; Pseudomonadati; Pseudomonadota; Gammaproteobacteria; Enterobacterales; Enterobacteriaceae. RNAcentral also lists the same sequence under 1 other name. The record is from RNAcentral.